GCCGGGCAUAGUGGCGCAUGCCUGUAAUCCCAGUUACUUGGGAGGCUGAGGCAGGAGAAUUGCUUGAACCCAGGAGGCGGAGGUUGCAGUGAGCCGAGAUCGCGCCACUGCACUCCAGCCUGGGAAACAAGAGCGAAACUCUGUCUCUA
This is an unclassified non-coding RNA of Pongo abelii (Sumatran orangutan), 149 nucleotides long. It matches the Rfam family "Metazoan signal recognition particle RNA". Rfam says of the family: The signal recognition particle (SRP) is a universally conserved ribonucleoprotein. The record is from Ensembl. NCBI's taxonomy places the organism in Eukaryota, Metazoa, Chordata, Mammalia, Primates, Hominidae.